Molecule: long non-coding RNA, 207 nt
Filed under: Homo sapiens (human)
Lineage: Eukaryota; Metazoa; Chordata; Mammalia; Primates; Hominidae
Description: HSALNT0337942
Source: RNAcentral
AGUAUUUGUGUGACCUCCAAUCAGCAAAUGGCUGCUUAAGUCUAUUUUGAGUUUAUAUCCAGUUAGCCAUUCGGGAUCCAUCUUGAAUUUCUAGAGGUGCAACUUACGGACUUGAGAUCUUCCUCUUUUCUCACAGCUUCAACCCCUGAAGCCACCAAAUUCAAAGGUCUAUGAGUCUUCUCCUUACUGUAGGUGGGUGAAUUUGCU